Molecule: transfer RNA, 69 nt
Filed under: Claassenia magna
Lineage: Eukaryota; Metazoa; Arthropoda; Insecta; Plecoptera; Perlidae
Description: tRNA-Gln
Rfam family: tRNA
About the family: Transfer RNA (tRNA) molecules are approximately 80 nucleotides in length. Their secondary structure includes four short double-helical elements and three loops (D, anti-codon, and T loops).
Source: RNAcentral
UAUAUUCUGGUGUAAGGUGCACGGAAGCUUUUGAUGCUUAAGGUAAUAGUUCAAGUCUAUUGGUUAUAA